RNAcentral lists this long non-coding RNA (3412 nucleotides) under Canis lupus familiaris (dog). RNAcentral's name for it is "lncRNA (ENSCAFG00040014268.1)". Lineage: Eukaryota; Metazoa; Chordata; Mammalia; Carnivora; Canidae. The record is from RNAcentral.
AGCCUCUCUCCCCGCCCUCGCUGCCUCACCCCCCCCACCCCACCCCCAUCACCCGAUCUGCACAAUCAGGCUUGGGAGAGUGAAAGGGUUUCACUUCCGCCUGGCUGCAGGAACCACAAGUUCCAGACUAGGUCGGAAUUCCGAAUAAUCACAGUCAAAAUCCACCCAGAUACUCUCACACGCCCAGCCGCGCGCGCAUCCCGGGGCCGCGGGGCACACGUGAGCCCACGCCCCGCGCGCCCGUCCCUGCCUCCUGCCGGAGCAUCCUCGGCUUGGGCGGCAGACGCAGCCGCCGCCGCCUCCUCCUCCUCUCGCCACCGCCUACACCGUCUCCUCUCCCCUCUCGUACUCCUUCCUCCCCCAGUUCCUGCUCCUCCUCCCGUCCGCGGCGGCGAAGGGCAGAACCCUCAGCAGCGGCUGCCUGCGCUUGGGCCGCCAAGAGCCUGGAACAGCAUUACAGGGCCACGGUGAUGGCAAGCUCAGCUUCCUGUAAGGAAGGAUGGAGGUGGAUAGGAGGAGGAAACACGUAAAGGUAACAACAUAAAAAUAAAAAGUAGUAUAAGCACUAGAGCUGAAGGCCAUGAGAACGCUGAGCCAGAAGGAAUGAAUUGUAACACUGGAAAGUCGGGGGAGCCUUCAUGGAGGAGGCGCUAUUUGAGCUGGACGAGAUUUCAGCAGGCAGACCCAACAGAGGCAGAAAGAAGGUUGUUGCCAUAUUUCCAUGAACAAAAAUGUGGAGGCACAAAAACACAGGACACUUUCAGUGAAACCUAUCUUGACAGGUCUAGUAAAGACGAUAUGCUCAGGAGUGAGACUCCCUACUAGCUGCCUGACCUUGGGCAAGGUACUGAACUCCUCUCUCGGCCUCUGUUUUUCCCUACUUGGGAAAUGAAAGUAAUGUAUGUCAUUGGGUUGGGGAAGGGAGUAAAUGAGAUAAUGACAGGAAGUAGCCACCACAGUGGCUGGCACAUAGCAAGCACUCCAAAACAGACAUGACUACUUUGCUUUAUAUAUAGUAGCAAACAAGAUGGUUUGCCCGGACCACUGGAUGUAGGACUGGGAUGGUGGAGGUAAUCUUUGGGACCAGGUCUUGGCAAGGGCUUUAAAUGCCAAACUAAGGAUUUGGGGCUUUUAUUCUGAAGCAGAAGAUUUGUAUAUUUGGAGGAUGAAUUAGAGCAGGAUGAUAGGGGAGUGGGGGAGUUAGGGGCCUAACUCCAUCCAAUAAGGAUGGGGGAAGAAUCAGGUUCAGAGCUGGGAUAUUCGAGUUAGUGUAUGUCUGAACUCCUCUAUUACAUAUCAAAUUGAGUUGAAGUUGGUGGAGCUCAAAAUGUGUAAAUGUAUACAUUAAAUGUAUAUUUUUAAAAUGUAGAGAUGUGUAGGAGAGCCUGGAUGGUGCUGUCAGUUUACAGUACAACUCUUGGUUUCGACUCAGGUCAUGGUCUCAGGAUUGUGGGAUCAAGCCCCAUGUCGGGUUCUGCGCUCAGCAUUGAGUCAGCUUGAGACUCUUUAUCUCUCUCUCUGCCCCUCCUGCUCAUGUGUGCUCGCUUGCUCUCUCUCUCUCUCUCAAAUAAAUCUUUUCCCCCAAAAUGUAUAGAUGUAUAAAAUAUAUAUCUGUAUAUACAUUAUAUUUAAUAUGCAUGUUAAAUAACUAGAAAGUGAAAAUCAGUGGUUGGAGAGAAUAUUGGCCAGUUUGUUUUUUUAUAGUUUUAAUGUGAAAGACAAUCCUUUUGUUAGCUUGGGUUAAACUAUGUGAAACAUCAUAUUCGAUGAAAACAUUUCCCAAAGCUGGCCUUUUUGUAAGAAAACUUGAGAUCUGUGCAAUUCACACAUACUUGAUAAAUUUAAGCACAUUCUGUCUUACUGGCAGGGACAGAAAUUUGCAAUAAGACACAGAGUUCUCUGAUGACAGACGAUCAGAAGCAGCAAUGGCAAGUGCGCAUGGGUCUGAAUUUCAGGACAUUUCUAAUGGUGGUCUGGGUAUUUAGGUAACCUUCAUUUGGACUUUGGUGAUAACCAGAGUCUUCUUUGGUUCCCCCAUCAGGAUGAACUACACUUCAGAAUGUUCUUGAGUCUUGGGCCAGAGGGAAUGAUCUCAUUUGGCACGUUAUUGAGUGCUUGCAAAGAGGAAAGACACUAACCGCUCACAAAUAUUUUGCCAUUGACUAACUGCAAAGAUGCAUCUGUUAAAGCAAUCCAUCUGAGCAGGCUAGUUGCCUCGAAUAUUAAAGAAUUUCAAUACCAGCUAAGAGCAAGUCGAUUUGUCAGACAUUUACAAAGCAGUUUUGAAGCCAAACGAUCUCCUUCCUGCUUUUACCUUUCUUCCAGAAUCUGUUCACCAACACAUAUGAGGGUGGACUUGGCCUCCUUGGUCAGAGCAUUCUCAAAGACAGCUGACAUUCUUGGGCUGCCGGGAGACAGACAUUUGGGUGGGAGGCGGUGCGGGAGUGGUGUGGCCAUGCUGGUUCCAUGCUAGGGAAACAAUUUUGCACCAAGCCAGCUAAAGACCUUCAACUGUUGGUCAGUUCCCUCUCAGGCCUGCCAGGCUUCCCCUUUGCCUGCUCCCUGAUGAAAACAGAACAGACCCACGGAGCAGUUAAAACUGACCAGUUGGAAUGACCCAGAUUCCUUAAGGAAAUGCAAAAGCCCGCUGGCUCAUGGGAUUAGCUUCAGUUUUGCAGUUACUCCGCAUCUGCACAUUACCUUCUUGUCCUCUGCAGCCCCAGCUUGCUCUAGCUGCUCACCUCGGUAGCCGGCUUUCCGAGCCAAGAGAAUCCCAGAACAGUCUCAUUAUGAGAAAGCAAUCGGCCAGCCCUAGAGAAACUCCAUGGCCAGACCAGAGAGAAAGAUAGCUCUCACCUUCAUUGAUUUGCUGUGUCCCUAUUGUUCUUUUCCCACCAUCUGCCCUCACUCCUCUGCAAUCCAAGGCGAUGUAGCCAACUUGUUAGAUGAAGCUGUGCGAACACAGCACAGCACAUAUAUCACUCGAGGCUUCAUUUGUUCUUGAAGAAAAAGAGGCCACACUGAGCAGCUAUUAGGGGACAUAGCAGGAUAGGAAAAUGAAUGUUUUGUUUCCAUUAAAGAAGGUGGCAUCGAGGAGGAUGCCUGGGAAGCUCAGUUGGUUAAGCAGCUGCCUUUGGCUCAGGUCAUGAUCUCAGGGUCAGGAUUGAGCCCCUCUUCGGGCUCCCUGCCCAGAAGAAAGUCUGCUUCUCCCACUCCUCCCUGCUUGUGCUCUCUCGCUAUUUCUGUAUCAGUCUCUUUCUCAAACAAAUAAAUAAAAUCUUAAAAAAAAAAGGAGGUGGCAUCAGAAGCAGCGAGGAAAGGCACAGGCAAACCUCAUAGGUGGUUAGUGAUGUCAGAACUCAUAUUAAAGGAGUAAGCCGCCUAGACAAAUUACACUUAGCGUUUACUGUGC